GCCCGGGGACUACGAGCCCCAGCUUAAAACCCAAAGGACUUGGCGGUGCUUUAGACCCCCCUAGAGGAGCCUGUUCUAGAACCGAUAACCCCCGUUAAACCUCACCCUCCCUUGUUUUACCCGCCUAUAUACCGCCGUCGUCAGCUCACCCUAUGAAGGACAAACAGUGAGCACAAUUGGCAACACCCAAAACGCCAGGUCGAGGUGUAGCGUACGAGAGGGGAAGAAAUGGGCUACAUUCACUGACACAGUGAAAUACGAAAGAUAGCUUGAAACAACCAUCUGAAGGAGGAUUUAGCAGUAAGGAGGGAAAUAGAGCGUCCCCCUGAAACCGGCCCUGAAGCGCGCACACACCGCC
RNAcentral lists this ribosomal RNA (358 nucleotides) under Gobionellus oceanicus (highfin goby). Its description in RNAcentral is "partial small subunit ribosomal RNA". It matches the Rfam family "Bacterial small subunit ribosomal RNA", at positions 871 to 1394 of the family's 1533-position model. Lineage: Eukaryota; Metazoa; Chordata; Actinopteri; Gobiiformes; Gobiidae. The record is from RNAcentral.